RNAcentral lists this long non-coding RNA (438 nucleotides) under Zalophus californianus (California sea lion). Its description in RNAcentral is "lncRNA (ENSZCAG00015013277.1)". Lineage: Eukaryota; Metazoa; Chordata; Mammalia; Carnivora; Otariidae. The record is from RNAcentral.
UUUAAUGCUUGUUCAAUUUGUUUUACUGUUGCAGUAAAAUUUACAGACAUGCAGAAACCUUAAAAGUUGUGAAGUUUGAGAUAGUUAAGGACACGGGACGUGAACCCCAGAACACUUUCUCCCGUGCUUUCCUGGGUGCAUGCCCCACCAGGACCUGGUCAUCGGUGUGCAGGCCUCGGAAGGUGAACACGGGAAGCCCAGCCCUGCGCCCUGCCAGGUCAAGCUGGAGAUUUUCCACUCCCCACCUGGUCGUUUGGGGCGAGGACCUGCCUUCUCAUGUGGACGGAGGUGAGCGGCCAGAUGGCAGCUCCCGCACACUUGCUGUGUUACUGCAGGGAGCCCACUGAGUGUGUGAGAUGCUCAGCACUGCCCAUCCUGGCCUGGGCUCCGCCCUCACCUGCCUCCCAGCUCAGGCACCUGUCUGCCCAAGUGAGCAGC